Mus musculus (house mouse) is the source of this 7586-nucleotide long non-coding RNA. RefSeq annotates it as predicted gene, 31501. The transcript has 3 exons. The record is from RefSeq and is a predicted model, not a curated record. Lineage: Eukaryota; Metazoa; Chordata; Mammalia; Rodentia; Muridae.
UACUAGUCAGUGAAAUAAAGCCAAACCUAAAGCUGAGAACUGCUCAACUGCUGGUCGGUGGUGGCACACACCUUUAAUCCCAGCACUUGGGAAGCAAAGGCAGAUAGAUUUCUAUGAGUUUGAGGACAGCCUGGUCACAGCAAUAGUUUCAGACUAGCAAGGGUAUCCAGGGAUGCUCACAGGCACACGCCCUUCCAUGGCAAUCACUGAAUGGUUUGUUGUUUAGUACUAGUGGGGAGCUCUGGGAGCCAGGGCUUAGCCUGCCUGCUGCUCCCAUCCCUGCAGUGUUUAGAGUGGUGUCUGCACCCUCCCUAGAAGGGGCUUGGUGUGUAUUUGUGGGUUGGAGGAAGGUUACGUGUAUUUAAGGUUAAUCCGGCACUCAGCUGAUAACGGGGUUCCCUUUCCUUUUUAUCAAGGCUCCCUGGACUUUCUGGGUUUCUUUCAUCUGUAAAGCGAGAGGCCGAAGACACUGUUUUCUCUGACGUGAGUCUGUACACAAGGCAGUGCGCAGUCGGCAAAUGACGGCUCCUGUUGGUAGCCCUUCUCCGUUUCUUAUGACGAACAAUAAAAAUGGAACGUUACCAGAGUAAAACGUGAAUUCUAAAACUGUUGAAUAAACAAAAUUAAUCGGACAAUGGAACUCCCAUUUUCCCGAUGAAUGACUGAAAAAGAACCGAGAGAAAGGAAGCCACUUUUCGUUGUUAUGGAAUCUAGAAUGGCCAUUUUGAAAUGGAGCAGGCAGCAAUAUAGUGGGAAAGCCAACGUGUCUAUCCAUAUCUGUUUCAAAAGACUCAAAAUUAAAUGAUCAUAAAAAGAUCUGUAAGAAAUAUCACUAAGGGAAGAAAGCAAGUUAUCUAAUUAUGUAUAUGUGAAUUAUAUCUAAUUGGAAUACAAAUUUAUCAUAAAUAUAUUCAUUUAUAAUAAAAAGCGAAUGAGAUUUAAAAGCAUCCCAUUCAGCUUUGAUUUUAGAGUGAAACACUUAGGCGGGCACACAGAUUGGAUGUGAUGUAUCUAAGAGAGCCUAUGAAUAUUCAUAGUUGGAGUACAGAUCACAUGUCCACAUCCAUAUAAUACACUUCUUAUUCAAGCCGAAAGAGGCACCCUUUCUCCUCUGGAAAGGAAAUAAUUAGGGUGCGGUUGAAAAAUGUAAAAAUCAGAAACACUCCCUUAAAUAAAAGUCACAGUGUCCAGAGGGGCCGGGAGUCUAACAGAUUGUUUGUUUAACUCGCCCGCGAUGAUGAGGCUGACAAGCCGACAUGAAGCUUAAAGGGAAAUCUGCCAAGGUGGCCAGUGUGCCCGGGGCACAGGCUGCCUCGGGUGCUUCCAUCGGCAAUGAUGAAAGUCUCAGAAGCCCCGUGUGCUCUGCUGGAAGCAAAGACAAAAUCUGCUGACCGAUGUCAGUCAGAGAUCUUGCCGAGCCUCUUUCAAGCACAGGCAGUCCUGUUUGGGGGGCUCAGGAGAGACUUAUAGACUUCGUCCUGCAUCUGCCUGUGCCAUCUCUCAAACAACUGCCCUGCCAUCUCUCAAACAACUGCCCUGCGGAGAUAUCUUAGAUAACAGUGUGGAUUUCUGAGCAAGUGUGUGCACACACACAGGUGGACUUUAGUAUAGUCUUUAGUUGCUCACUUGCUCUCCCUCCCCCCUCAGUCUCUCUCUCUUUCUCUCUCUCUCUCUCUCUCUCUCUCUCUCUUUCUGUGUCUCUCUCUCCGUAUGUAUGUAUGUAUUGUAUGUAUGUAUGUAUGUGCCCAGGUGUGUGCUGGUGUUAUGGAAGUCAGAAGUCAAUGUUUGUUGGGUGUCUUCCUCAAUUGCUGUUCAUUUUAUUUUUGAGACAGGAUGUCUUACUAAACGUGGAGUUCACUGAUUCUGCUAGACUGGCUGGCCAGCAAGCCCAAGCAAGGGGUGCCCCUGUCUUUGCCUCCCCAGCCCUGAGAUACACAAGCAUCAAACAUGUGGCCUCUCACGCUGGGAAGCCUGUUCCCUUUAAAGCUCCCUGAAGCACUGCUUCUGUCAAGGGCAACGUUUCACCUGUACUUAAACUUUUAUUUCUCAGCUCUGGGGAUUGAACUCAGGGCCUUGCCAUACAAGGCCUUUCCCUUACUCACCUGCGCCUCACCCACCACCGUUAAUCUUUAACAGCUUUCACCACUCAUGUCAUUCCCUCUUUCUGUUUUUAAAAGCCAGCAAAGCACGGAUCUCAGGCAGAACCUGUGGCAGACAUAAGUCAAGGGCUGGAAUCCAAUAUAACUAUUUUCGUUCAUUUAUGAAAAGCAUAUGGGUGGCCCAUUUAGGCUCCAAUUUGUCUCCUUUGAACUAAAUUUAUUUGUUGAUGUUUAAAAAGUGUUGAUUUCAAACAAAUGUUAAGGUUAGGGAUAUAGUUCAGGGGUAGAUCCCUGCCUUCUUUCUAUGUGCAAAGCGAUCACCUUGACCCCUAACCCCGAAACAAAAGAAAAGCUACAAGCAGCACCCGACAUUCCCACAGACACACAUGGGAUCCUAACUCAUUGAUCUGUAGGUCACAUGUGGCUAUGUACAAACUGUGAAAAUGGGACCCACCCUCACUGCAGUCUGGGAGGAACUCAACAAUGAGGCCACCAGGAAUAGGCUCCUGGAGGGAGCGUGUAGGGAUCUUCUCAUUUCUUUUUAUCUAGGGAAGAAGAAAAUUGGCUUACAUCCUGUCUGUGUGACAGACACAGUCAAAAUCAUCUAUGAUGCUCGUCUUCAAACCAAACAACAGGAUGCCUCCCAAUCCCAUGUGAGCAGGAAAAAUACAGAGAGUAUGCAGACUUGUCAAUUAUUCCUUAGAUUCCCAUCUGUGACUUGAUAAAUAUUUGAUGCCGUGGCCAGUCAACAUCCCUACAUUAGCGAAACUUCUGCCCAGGAGCAAAAACUGCACAGCUCUCAGCAAUGAGACCCGACCUAAGUAUUUCUGUCUAUGAACGCCAUUGUUGGGGGAAAAUAACUGUGAAGAUGGAUGGAGGACGGCAUAGCAACAGCAGCAGUAACAGCAACAGCAGCAGCAGCAGCAGCAGCAACAGCAACAGUAACAACAGCAACAGCAACAGCAACAGCAGCAGCAGCAGCAACAGCAACAGUAACAACAGCAACAGCAACAGCAGCAGCAGCAGCAGCAGCAACAGCAACAGUAACAACAGCAACAGCAACAACAGCAGCAACAGCAGGCUUUGUCUUUUCACUUCAGACUAUAAGAAAGUUUCUACAAUUUCUCCUUUUUAAAAAACUGUUUCACCAUGCUACAAAAUGCUAAUUUUCUGCCAUUUUUUACAAUGAAAAAAAUCAAUAAUCAAUGGUUUGAAUUUAGCUUGCUGUCCUGGAGACACGCUCCUGAGUUCAGAAGGGUUGAGCCAUGUGUUACCAGGCUCCUUCCGAUGAGGAUUUAUAAAGAUUGAGAGCUUUUUUCUUCCUUCCCAGAUUCACCAGUUUCCCUUGUAAUUUAUCUUUGGGUAGCGAAGAGAUUCCUUAUAAUUUGUCUUUGGGUAAUAGAUCUAUCUCCGAUCUGCUCCUUCUGAGUUGUGAAUUAGAUACAAAGAAAACAUGCUUUUAAAAAAAAAACCCUUUUUUGGAUCCAGAAGAAAAACAUUCAUUAGUAAAGAAUAUAAGGCGAGAGGGGAUUUUCAUCUGUCCUGUGGAUUUGCUCUUAUUUUAAUUACUUUGCUCACUAAAAAGUUUAUAAGACUUCCUUGUGACUGUUAGGUCGGCUAGGCUAGGCAGAAGGCUACUCUCUGCCAUAGUUUACCCUGUACAAGUGUGAGGGGAUACAUUUCUGAACAUACUCUGUUUCUUUUUCUGCCUUUAUUUUGAGCUCCACUUUCGGGCUUUAUUAUUCUGCGUCCCCCUUCCCCUUCUCACUUUGUUUCCAUUUUCAAUGAUACAAAGGAAUAAAAGAGGUGCUGGGGAGAUAGCUAAGUGGUAACAGUGCUUUCCGUGAAAGCAUGAGGACAUGAGUUCAAAUCCCAGCACAUACAUAAAAAGGCGGGUGUGACUGUGCAUGUGACUAUAACCCAGACCAGAGGGAGGAAGAGACAGAGGAAUCCUUGGGGCUUGCUGCCCAAGUUACAGACUAAGUGACAGACCUGUCUCAAGGGAAAGAGUGAUAGAGCUGGGUACCCAGCAUCCUCCUCUGGCUCCUGAGCAUGCACACAUGGUGUAUGCAACCACAGACACACACAUAGACACACACACAGACACACACACAGACACUCACAUGCCCACAUGCGCACACAAUUAAAAGAUAAUACUCAAAGGGCUCCAAGCUGAGUAUACCCUACCAAAAAUGUAUUUGAAGUAAAUACUGAGAUAUCAGAAAAUUAAACAUAUUUUCAUUAACUAGAACAUCAAGGUUAUUUUUCUUCUAAAACAUCAAAAUUCUCAAUUAGUAUAUAAUAGCAAAAUACAAGUAGUAAUGAAUGAAUCUUUACAUAAAUUAAAAUUUUAAAUAAGAGUAAUUGUUUAGUUCUAAAUAAAAUUUUAGUAAAUAUUUUUAUAAAUAUAAAUUAUUUGCAAUUUUUAUGCUCAAAACACAUCAGUUGCUAAGUAAAAAAUAUAAACCGAUAAUGUCAUUGUGCUGGCUAGCUCUUUGUCAACUUGAUACAAGCGAGGGUCAUCUGGAAAGAGGGAGCCUCAUUUGAGAAACUACCCACUUCUCAUUUUUGUAUUAGGUACUUUUUAAUUGCUGUGCUAAGAUUCUAUGACCAAGGCCACUUAGAGAAGAAAGAGUUGAUUGGGGGCUUGUGGUUUCAGAGGGUGAGUCCAUGACCACCAUGGCAGAGAGUGUGGCAGCAUGCAAGCAGGCAUGGCACCAGAGAAGUAGCUGAGAACUUAAUUCUUGAGACACGGCCAUGAGGGAAAGAGAGAGAGAGAGACAUACAAAGAGAUACAGAGAGAAUCACUAACUGGAAAUGGUGUGGGUUUUUGAAAUCUCAAAGCCCAUGUCUACCAGUGACUUACUUACUUCCUCCAGGGAACCCUCCCAAACAGCUCUACCAAUUUAUUUAUUUAUUUAUUUAUUUAUUUAUUUUGGUUUUUCGAGACAGGUUUUCUCUGUGUAGCCCUGGCUGUGCCGGAACUCACUUUGUAGACCAGGCUGGCCUCAAACUCAGAAAUCCCGGAACUCACUUUGUAGACCAGGCUGGCCUCAAACUCAGAAAUCCGCCUGCCUCUGCCUCCCGAGUGCUAGGAUUAAAGUUGUGCACCACCACGCCCAGAGAGUUCUACCGAUUUUAGAACAACUAUAUGAGCCUAUGGGGUCAUUCUCAUUCAAGUCACCACAUGCCCCUACCAGACUGGCCAGCCAGUAGGCAAGUCUGUGGGACAUUUUCUUGAUUAAUGAUUUAUAUGGAAGAACCCAGCCCACUGUGGGCAGUGCUGCUCCUGGGCAGAUGGUCCUGGGUGGUAUAAGAAAGCAGGCUGAGCAAGACAUAAAGAGCAAGGCAGUAAGCAAGUUUCCUCCAUGUCCUCUGCUUCAGUUUCUGCUUCCCGGUUCCUACGUUGGGUGAGUUCCUGCUCUGACUCCCUGGAUGAACUAUAAGUUGUAAGCUGAAAUAAACUCUGUCUUCUUCAAGUUGCUCUGGUCAAAGUGUUUAAUCCCCGUUAUCGAAAGCAAGCUAUGACAGCUCUGCUCCAUGCUUCCAGCAGGCUGUGUCUAUACUGUCUCUAAAGACUAAGAGUAAAUGUUUAAUAUUGCAAAGUGUUCUUUGGCCACCAUGUGUAGCUGUUGCAGACACUGCACUCAUUAGUCUGUGACUGCUUUUGGGUCCACAAAUUGGAACUGGAAGAAGCAAGAAAGUGGAUGCUCAUCACCCCUGGGAAACAAUACUUUAUUAUGCAGGAAUCUAUAGCAUUCGUGACAUCUGGGAGGAAGGAUUUGACAGGUUAAUUAAUUUGUCUUUUCUCCUGCCUAAAUGCUGCCACAGCUCAAAUUCUCCUCCUUAGGAUGGUCCUUCCGUGGCAUUGGCAGCAACACAAGCCACAACCUUCAUGACAUUUGUAGAAAGUCACCUUCUGCUUCCAGGACAAAAGGCAAGAAAGAAAAAGGAAGAAGGCAAGUACAUUUGAAGUGGCCUGGAUGGUACACACUGGGGGCCAUGGCUGCAUCAUUCAGAGGGCACCCAUGCUAUUUAGUAAACUUGCCUUUCAUUGUGAGUUUGUGAUGCUGGACUCUAGGAAGAAUGUUCAGGGGAGAGCCUCUUGUCCUGUCUAAAGGCUGUCCCAAGCUCGAUAUAAAUCCAGUACCACCAAUAGGAUAACCCCAUGUGGAGAGUAGACAGGGACCCCACCCACAAGUACCCAAAUCAAUUAUGAUAUCAACAUUUUUGGCAUUUGUGUUUCUAUAAAAAUGAUACUAGCAUGCACACAUUAUUUUAUGUAUUUAUUAUUAUAUUUUUUUCCACGACAAAGUUUCUCUGUAAAUCCCUGGCUGUCCUAGAACUUGCUUUGUAGACCAGGCUGGCCUCAAACUCAGGGAUCUACCUUCAUCUGCCCAGCUUUGUGUGUGUGUGUGUGUGUGUGUGUGUGUGUUUUAAAUAGACAAGGAAGAUUACUAUAUAAAAGCUUUGAUGAGCUUCAUUUCCACUUAAAACAUUUCAUAACACUAUCCAUAUUGCUACUAAACAUUUGUUAACUUUAUCUUAUUAUAUCAGUAAGAUUUCAACCAUUACUUCUUGAUUGACUUUUUUCUUCAAGUUUAUCAUUAUAAAAAUAAUAUGACAAAUAUCCUUUGGAGAUGACCUUAUUUUCUGUGUUUAAGCUCAUGGCUGCUUUUGGCCAAUUUUAAAUAAUGCAUGAAUAUUAGGACCUAAAUAUAUAUAUUAUAUCUAUAUAUAAUAUGAAUGAAUAUAUUUAUGUAUAUGCUUAUAUACAGUACAUGUGUGCAUAUAUAAUGUAUGUAUAUACACAUAUACAUAUAUACAUAUGUACACAUAUAAAUAUAUACAACAUAUGCAUGUUGUAAAAUUGCUUAGUUCUUACUCAUAGUUUUCAUCUUCUGAAGAAUUUUAUGAACAAUUAAGUUAUAGAUGAAAACGUUACAUUAGGUAAUCUGUCUGAUACCCAAAGCAGAUGAAUACUAACUCCCAAAGGAAAAAAAUGCUAGCUACCAAAAUAUUUAUAAAUUCAGAUUGAUAAGAAAUGUUACAUGGAAAUACAUAUUUACAUACAUAAAUAUUUCAAGUAUCUUAUAUAUUGAGACAGAUAACAAUAUCUUUAUACUAUGUAUACAUGCUUACAUAUAUAAUCCAUAUAGACAUAAGUAAGAUUGGAAACAUAUAUGUGCUUUGGAAAUUGAAGCCAAUCCAGGAUGAAGAUUCAGGUUUGGCUGAUCCCAGUGUCCCUAAACCAUACAUUCUAUGUGCAAUUAGGACUCAGUGAGGCCUCAAGGGUCAUUUGAAUAUAGGACCAAAUCUGCAAAUACAUCAAAAACCAGGAGUCUCAGGGGUAGAGAGGAGUUAAAGAAAAAGGUAAUGGGAGCUUUUGACAUUUGUGUAUUUCUUAACUUACUUAAAUGCUAAAAAAUAGAUUUAUGUAAUAUGUGUGAAAUCUUAAAAAUUAAUAAAAAUAUUAUUUUACAUAGU